This 25-nucleotide transfer RNA is filed under the name Anolis cybotes (large-headed anole). RNAcentral describes it as "partial tRNA-Asx". Lineage: Eukaryota; Metazoa; Chordata; Lepidosauria; Squamata; Anolidae. The record is from RNAcentral.
CUGAAUAGGCGGGCCUCGAUCCCGC